UACACUUCACUGGUCCAGCUAAUGAAUGUAGCAUAGAGGUUCCUGGUGUUUUAAAUGUUCAAAGGCUUCAGCAGUUGCUUCUCACCUUGGCUACUCUAAUAAAAAGGGAACUAUGUGACUCAUCUUUUCUGGUGAUUGGAUAUAUAAUGAAAAAAAUCCUGUGAGGAAGACUUCGCAAGGGCAAGUUACUUUAGAGUUUACAGUGUAAAUGAAUAUUAACAGCUACUUAUGUAUUGUUUAACAACAUGAACAUCACGCUUUUUCAUCUUGCUUACUUACAGAGAUGUGGUUCUGUCA
This is a long non-coding RNA of Zea mays, 297 nucleotides long. RefSeq lists it as uncharacterized. NCBI's taxonomy places the organism in Eukaryota, Viridiplantae, Streptophyta, Magnoliopsida, Poales, Poaceae. The transcript has 2 exons. The record is from RefSeq and is a predicted model, not a curated record.